AACGAUCAUGGCUCAGAUUGAACGCUGGCGGGAUGCUUUACACAUGCAAGUCGAAUGGCAGCACGGACUUCGGUCUGGUGGCGAGUGCGAACGGUGAUAAUGUAUCGGAACGUGCCUAGUAGCAGAGCACCAUGCGAAAGCGUACUAAUACCGCUACGCCCUUCGGGGAAAGCGGGGACCUUUCGCCUCGCACUAUUAGAGCGGCCGAUACGGAUUAGCUAGUUGGCGGGGCAACGGCUCACCGGCGACGAUCCGUAGCUGGUUUGAGAGGAUGACCAGCCACACUGGGACUGAGACACGGCCCAGACUCACGGAGGCAGCAGUGGGAACAACGACACGGGGAAACUCAUCCAGCCAUCUCGCGUGUGCGAUGAAGGCCUUCGGGCUGUAAAGCACUUUGGCAGGAAGAAAACGGCACGGAGGUCAUCCCAACGCAACUGACGGUACCUGCAGAAUAAGCACCGCCAACUGGCCGCCAAAAAGUCGCGGUAAUACGUAGGGUGCAAGGCUAAUCGGAAUUACUGGCGGCGCGUGGCGCAGGCGGUUCCGGAAAGAAGAUGUAAAUCCCAGAGCUUAACUUUGAACCGCAUUUUUAACUACCGAGCUAGAGUGUGUCAGAGGGAGUGUGGAAUUCCGCAGCAGUGAAAUGCGUAGAUAUGCGGAGGAACACCGAUGGCGAAGGCACCUCCUGGGAUAACACCGACGCUCAUGCACGAAAGCGUGGGGAGCAAACAGGAUUAGAUAACGGUAGUCCACGCCCUAAACGAUGUCAACUAGCUGUUGGGGCCUUCGGGCCUUGGUAGCGCAGCUAACGCGUGAAGUUGACCGCCUGGGGGAGUACGGUCGCAAGAUUAAAACUCAAAGGAAUUGACGGACCCGCACAAGCGGUGGAUGAUGUAUUUAAUCUGAUGCAACGCGAAAAACCUUACCUACCCUUGACAUGUCUGGAACUUGAAGAGACGGAGUGCUCGCAAGAGAACCGGAACACAGGUGCUGCAUGGCUGUCGUCAGCUCGUGUCGUGAGAUGUUGGGUUAAGUCCCGCAACGAGCGCAAACCCUUGUCAUUAGUUGCUACGAAAGGGCACUCUAAUGAGACUGCCGGUGACAAACCGAGGAAGGUGGGGAUGACGUCAAGUCCUCAUGGCCCUUAUGGGUAGGCUUCACACGUCAUACAAUGGUCGGGACAGAGGGUCGCCAACCCGCGAGGGGAGCCACCAGAAACCUGAUCGUAGUCCGGAUCGCAGUCUGCAACUCGACUGCGUGAAGUCGGAAUCGCGUAAUCGCGGAUCAGCAUGUCGCGGUGAAUACGUUCCCGGGUCUUGUACACACCGCCCGUCACACCAUGAGUGGGUUUACCAGAAGUAGUUAGCUCAACCGUAAGGAGGGCGAUUACCACGGUAGAGUUCCAUGACUGGGGUGCGAAGUCGUAACAAGGUAG
Molecule: ribosomal RNA, 1438 nt
Filed under: uncultured Bordetella sp.
Lineage: Bacteria; Pseudomonadati; Pseudomonadota; Betaproteobacteria; Burkholderiales; Alcaligenaceae
Description: partial 16S-23S ribosomal RNA intergenic spacer
Rfam family: Bacterial small subunit ribosomal RNA
Source: RNAcentral